GAAGACUGUUAGAAGUAAUCCACUCGAUUUUGCAGUGCUGUGGGGCCAAUAACCUUUGGCAAGGGAAGAGGUUAAACCAGAAGCAGUUUUGUCUUAAGCAAGAAGAUAUUCGGAUAGUCCCAGAGAAAUGCUGAGAUUUGCGUUGAUCUAAUGAAGAAGAUAAUAAUGCCAUGCUUACAUGGAAUCAUGUACUUCUGUAUGCUGGUCCUUUUUCCUUAGAGGGACAGAAUCUUCCCGUGGCUGAGAACCAGUGCAAACUGCCAUAGGACUGAGGACCAUCUUAUACAUUCACAGCAAGACAGAGGGGAAACCCCCCCACAGAAUUAUUUCU
Lepidothrix coronata (blue-crowned manakin) is the source of this 331-nucleotide long non-coding RNA. RefSeq lists it as uncharacterized. NCBI's taxonomy places the organism in Eukaryota, Metazoa, Chordata, Aves, Passeriformes, Pipridae. The transcript is spliced from 3 exons. The record is from RefSeq and is a predicted model, not a curated record.